This 467-nucleotide ribosomal RNA is filed under the name uncultured bacterium. Its description in RNAcentral is "partial 16S ribosomal RNA". It matches the Rfam family "Bacterial small subunit ribosomal RNA", at positions 28 to 507 of the family's 1533-position model. The record is from RNAcentral.
GACGAACGCUGGCGGCGUGCUUAACACAUGCAAGUCGAACGGAAAGGCCCUGCUUUUGUGGGGUGCUCGAGUGGCGAACGGGUGAGUAACACGUGAGUAACCUGCCCUUGACUUUGGGAUAACUUCAGGAAACUGGGGCUAUACCGGAUAGGAGCUCCUGCUGCAUGGUGGGGGUUGGAAAGUUUCGGCGGUUGGGGAUGGACUCGCGGCUUAUCAGCUUGUUGGUGGGGUAGUGGCUUACCAAGGCUUUGACGGGUAGCCGGCCUGAGAGGGUGACCGGCCACAUUGGGACUGAGAUACGGACCAGACUCCUACGGGAGGCAGCAGUGGGGAAUAUUGCACAAUGGGCGGAAGCCUGAUGCAGCAACGCCGCGUGCGGGAUGACGGCCUUCGGGUUGUAAACCGCUUUCGCCUGUGACGAAGCGUGAGUGACGGUAAUGGGUAAAGAAGCACCGGCUAACUACGUG